AUCUCAAUGCAUAGUGGUUAGUGCACAGGCCUGGAUAGGUUGAGACGCGGGUUCAAAUCCCGCCUGAGAUG
RNAcentral lists this transfer RNA (71 nucleotides) under Nippostrongylus brasiliensis. It matches the Rfam family "tRNA". Rfam says of the family: Transfer RNA (tRNA) molecules are approximately 80 nucleotides in length. Their secondary structure includes four short double-helical elements and three loops (D, anti-codon, and T loops). Lineage: Eukaryota; Metazoa; Nematoda; Chromadorea; Rhabditida; Heligmosomidae. The record is from Rfam by way of RNAcentral.